UCCUCUCCCCGCCGCCGCGCACGACGGCGUCUCCUCUCCUCCCUCAACUUCGGGCGUUCUUCUUCCAUCCAGCCUAAGUCGAGCCUCGCGAGGGAUUCCGGCGUGGGUGGGGAUCAAUCUGAGGCGAUGCUUUCCAGUGAUUCGGCACAGGAGGGGAUCGACCCAAGGCGACGCGUGCGAGGAUGCGAUGCUCGACAGGAUCCCGCCGGUAGCAGAUGUGCGGCGUCUCCUCUUCCCCGUCACCGUUGCUCCUUGUUGCGGCCACUCAUGCGCGUCGCCGCCAGGUUUAGUUCAAUCUUUUCUGUAUGUGAAAGAGCGUCUGAUGCGGAGCUGUGCGCCACUAGCCUCAAGGGAGAUUUGGUGGAGGCCGAGGCUUGGAACACUGAAGACAUGAGAUUGUGUCAGCUUGGUGCCACUCGGCCACUGCAGGUUAUUGGCAUAGAUUCAGCCGCUCUCCUAUCAGUUUGUCCAUAAAAAAUGAUUGUUGGACUGAAAAUAUUUAUCACUUGCAGUUCUAUAUAAUAUGACAAUCCUGGUAUUCAUUGCUCCCAGUUGCUUGAGGCAAAUAAUUAGAUUAGUACAUUUGAUGGAGUUGUACGAUGUGAAAGAACAAUGUUUGUUUCUAUCAGUUAGAAACUGAAGAAUACAUCUAAACUUACUGCUGUCAAGAAUACAAAUUAGUGAUAGAGAUGAUGCUAUUUAAGGAUUAAGAUGUACGGAUUGAUGAAUCCAUUAGAAUCCAAGAACAUUUCAGCGGCUCCAUUUUUUUAACUAUGUAUAUGUAGUUGGUCGUACAAACAAUUAUUUGUAUCUUGCAAAGUUCCUUUUUGUUAAUGUACUGUGAGAUUCUAAUAUAAUAUACAUUUGUUGUGUCCUUUCCGGCACACAAUAGUGUAGUUUAAGAAAGAGGAUAAAUGUUGCAAAAGAGCUGAUAACUUUCUCAAUUAUGUAGAUUAUUAGGAGAUGUGAAGGAAGUUUGAGUGGGUGAGUUAUAUCCUAUCCAUAAUACCUGGUGUACAAUUACCCUGCAAUUGUCCGUCACCGGCGAGUGGCGCACAUCAGUCGCCAUUAAGGUCCUGUUGCGAUGGUUAUACACCUCCUCGAUUUCCGGCAACUGUUUGCUGCUCAAGGUGACCCUCUACCUUGCAGGCCGAUUACCAUGGUCAGCUGGAUUGACCGGCCCCUGAUUCACCUGCAUCCCAUGUCUCGGCUUGAUUGACUGGAUACCAUCAAGGGCUGGAUUCCUUCGGGUCCCUUUCCUCAGCUGAAUCUCCUCGAGCGCGUCGUCUCCCUCCCGCAUUGGAUCCCCUCGGAUAUUUGAAUGUCAUUCCGGUCUUAAAUUAUGUUCCUGGAGAGAAACGCAGGAAACUGAGGUACUGCUACGCUGCCUGAUCUUCCGUGUCCCCAGCGGAUGUCCUCUCACAUGAUCUUGUGACGGUUGACGUGCAGUACAAGAUAUUGCACCUGACAGGCAGAAUUGAGAGGACUUGAAUGGGGUAAGGACCUCUGCUACAUCUGCUAACACAGCAGCAAGGAUUCGCUUACUCAAUAUUAUCCAUUUCUCCAGCCGUAUAUAACCGUGCAUGUUAGGUUAUAUUGAUGAAUAUUAUUGAAAAAUAUUCUUCAUACAUUACAACAAUGUGAUUUAUUUCUGGUUGCAUAACA
Long non-coding RNA from Triticum aestivum (bread wheat), 1665 nucleotides. RefSeq lists it as uncharacterized. NCBI's taxonomy places the organism in Eukaryota, Viridiplantae, Streptophyta, Magnoliopsida, Poales, Poaceae. The transcript has 2 exons. The record is from RefSeq and is a predicted model, not a curated record.